RNAcentral lists this transfer RNA (75 nucleotides) under Chloroflexota bacterium. Its description in RNAcentral is "tRNA-Gly". It matches the Rfam family "tRNA". Rfam says of the family: Transfer RNA (tRNA) molecules are approximately 80 nucleotides in length. Their secondary structure includes four short double-helical elements and three loops (D, anti-codon, and T loops). The record is from RNAcentral. Lineage: Bacteria; Bacillati; Chloroflexota. RNAcentral also lists the same sequence under 1 other name.
GCGGGAGUAACUCAGUGGCAGAGUGAUUGCUUCCCAAGCAAUAUGUCGGGGGUUCGAAUCCCCUCUCCCGCUCCA